Molecule: long non-coding RNA, 658 nt
Organism: Haliotis rubra (blacklip abalone)
Lineage: Eukaryota; Metazoa; Mollusca; Gastropoda; Lepetellida; Haliotidae
Exons: 2
Source: RefSeq, a predicted model, not a curated record
CACCAGGUUUAUCUUCUCUGGAUACACGCAGGACAUGGGGCACACGCAUCUCCUCCCUGCAUGUUGAACCUCGGUGGCUUAUCUUGCAACUUAGUAAUGUGGUGUUAAUGCAAGAUACACAUGUUUCAUUUUUUCUGUGCAUAUUUCCCUCAUGCAGGUAUUUUCACAUAAUUUUCAUUUGCAUAUUUCAUGCAUUAUAAAUGUCUACCUAAUGUGUACUGUCUCCAUAGCACAGUGCAGCUCUUACUUCAUUCUAGUAUCAGGUAUUACCUCCCUUGUUAGUAACCCAGCCAGCUAGGGUUCAAUCCCAGCUUUCUAAUAAAACUUUUGCAGAUUUGUUAUGUUUCAUAUCCCAUAAUACAAUUUUCCUGUCAUGUGACCUUAAAAAGCACAUGUGGUACUGGGACCCCAUGCUUCAGUGUGGUAGCAGCCUCCAUAGCGUCAAGAGGUCUCCUCUGACUGUUAAUAUUAAUGUAGAGCACAGGAACACAAAUUUUUCCAAACCUCAUCCACUCAGUCACUCAUCAACUCAACUAGUUAUCCUUUUACACGACCAAUGACCAACGUUCAACGUGUAUCUUACAUUCAUUUGUACGUGUCACCGUAUAUCAACGCACACCAUUGUUUACCAUCAACGAAUAAAACCCUGUGGAUGCGA